RNAcentral lists this ribosomal RNA (201 nucleotides) under uncultured prokaryote. RNAcentral describes it as "partial 16S ribosomal RNA". It matches the Rfam family "Bacterial small subunit ribosomal RNA", at positions 524 to 724 of the family's 1533-position model. The record is from RNAcentral.
UACAGAGGGUGCGAGCGUUAAUCGGAGUUACUGGGCGUAAAGGGCGCGUAGGCGGUUAUAAAAGAUUGAUGUGAAAUCCCUGGGCUUAACCUAGGAACUGCAUCGAUGACUGUAUGACUAGAGUAUUGUAGAGGGUAGUGGAAUUUCCGGUGUAGCGGUGAAAUGCGUAGAGAUCGGAAGGAACACCAGUGGCGAAGGCGG